UAACUGUUUCAUUCUCUGGUCCAGACCCCAGGACGCAGAGCAAGGAAGGCAAAGUGCAGGCAAGAAAUCCAGGUCACCGGCAUACGUGUGAGUGACAGGAAGAAAAGCUCUGAAAACUAUUGCUGAUGAUACACACAUACCAACAGGCCAUCAGUUGGAGUGGACCUCCUGGCCCACAAUGCACCUGUACACGUCUCCUUUCCUGUUAUUGGGAGGUCCAUCCCAGGGAGCGCCCACCAGCAUCCUGCACCAAGGAGGAUACAUGAAAUUGGUUACCGUCUCCCGGAAGAUCAACAGGUUUCCGUCCGUAACUUACGAUUUCUCUCCCUCCGUUUCAAGCUGCAACACGGAGAAGCCAAAGAGGGCGUCAUCCGGGCCGCUAAAUAUCCGCGGAUGCUUGACGUCGAUGUUGAAGCACUGACACAAGCCUGCAGAAGCAAGAAAGAGUGACGGUUAUACUAAUCACUUAUAAAAUACUUAUAUGAGUAUUCAACAUACAGUAUGCGAGUACUUAUAUGGAGUACUGGACGGUCCACCGAGUGACAGAAAAUAUCAUGUAUAAAUGCAGCAUCAAAUCAAAUGAAAAAUAUUUUUAAAACGUUAUCAAGCCAA
Nerophis ophidion (straightnose pipefish) is the source of this 612-nucleotide long non-coding RNA. RefSeq lists it as uncharacterized. The transcript has 3 exons. The record is from RefSeq and is a predicted model, not a curated record. Lineage: Eukaryota; Metazoa; Chordata; Actinopteri; Syngnathiformes; Syngnathidae.